CACCGGCUCACAGCUAGUACGG
RNAcentral lists this microRNA (22 nucleotides) under Macacine gammaherpesvirus 4 (Rhesus lymphocryptovirus). Its description in RNAcentral is "rlcv-miR-rL1-35-5p". Its record names the gene rlcv-miR-rL1-35-5p. Lineage: Duplodnaviria; Heunggongvirae; Peploviricota; Herviviricetes; Herpesvirales; Orthoherpesviridae. The record is from miRBase by way of RNAcentral.